GACGUAGGGCGCGAGCGUUGUCCGGAUUUAUUGGGCGUAAAGAGCGUGUAGGCGGCUGGGUAGGUCCGUUGUGAAAACUCGAGGCUCAACCUCGGGCUUGCAGUGGAUACGGGCAGACUAGAGUGCGGUAGGGGAGACUGGAAUUCCUGGUGUAGCGGUGGAAUGCGCAGAUAUCAGGAGGAACACCGAUGGCGAAGGCAGGUCUCUGGGCCGCAACUGACGCUGAGGAGCGAAAGCAUGGGGAGCGAACAGG
This 253-nucleotide ribosomal RNA is filed under the name uncultured bacterium. RNAcentral describes it as "partial 16S ribosomal RNA". It matches the Rfam family "Bacterial small subunit ribosomal RNA", at positions 524 to 776 of the family's 1533-position model. The record is from RNAcentral.